Molecule: ribosomal RNA, 422 nt
Filed under: uncultured bacterium
Lineage: Bacteria
Description: bacterial SSU rRNA
Rfam family: Bacterial small subunit ribosomal RNA
Source: RNAcentral
AACGAACGCUGGCGGCAGGCUUAACACAUGCAAGUCGAACGGGCGUAGCAAUACGUCAGUGGCAGACGGGUGAGCAACACGUGGGAACCUUCCUAGGGGUACGGAACAACUCAGGGAAACUUGAGCUAAUACCGUAUACGUCCGUGAGGAGAAAGAUUUAUCGCCCUUAGACGGGCCCGCGUCGGAUUAGCUAGUUGGUGGGGUAACGGCCUACCAAGGCGACGAUCCGUAGCUGAUCUGAGAGGAUGAUCAGCCACACUGGGACUGAGACACGGCCCAGACUCCUACGGGAGGCAGCAGUGGGGAAUCUUGGACAAUGGGGCGCAAGCCUGAUCCAGCCAUGCCGCGUGAGUGAAGAAGGCCUUCGGGUUGUAAAGGCUCGUUUUGUUCAGGGACGAUAAUGACGGUACCUGAAGAAUAAG